RNAcentral lists this transfer RNA (72 nucleotides) under Bos taurus (domestic cattle). It matches the Rfam family "tRNA". Rfam says of the family: Transfer RNA (tRNA) molecules are approximately 80 nucleotides in length. Their secondary structure includes four short double-helical elements and three loops (D, anti-codon, and T loops). Lineage: Eukaryota; Metazoa; Chordata; Mammalia; Artiodactyla; Bovidae. The record is from Rfam by way of RNAcentral. RNAcentral also lists the same sequence under 1 other name.
UCCCUAGUAGCUCUGUUGGUAAAGAAUCUGCCUGCAAUGCAGGAGACCCUGGUUUGAUUCCUGGGUUGGGAA